RNAcentral lists this ribosomal RNA (365 nucleotides) under uncultured bacterium. RNAcentral describes it as "bacterial SSU rRNA". It matches the Rfam family "Bacterial small subunit ribosomal RNA", at positions 8 to 353 of the family's 1533-position model. The record is from RNAcentral.
AGAGUUUGAUCCUGGCUCAGGACGAACGCUGGCGGCGUGCUUAACACAUGCAAGUCGAACGGAGCACCCUUGAUUGAGGUUUCGGCCAAAUGAUAGGAAUGCUUAGUGGCGGACUGGUGAGUAACGCGUGAGGAACCUGCCUUUCAGAGGGGGACAACAGUUGGAAACGACUGCUAAUACCGCAUAAGCCCACGACCCGGCAUCGGGAAGAGGGAAAAGGAGCAAUCCGCUUUGAGAUGGCCUCGCGUCCGAUUAGCUAGUUGGUGAGGUAACGGCCCACCAAGGCGACGAUCGGUAGCCGGACUGAGAGGUUGAACGGCCACAUUGGGACUGAGACACGGCCCAGACUCCUACGGGAGGCAGCA